ACGGAAGGCAGCAGUGGGGGAUAUUGCACAAUGGGGGAAACCCUGAUGCAGCGACGCCGCGUGAGUGAUGAAGUAUUUCGGUAUGUAAAGCUCUAUCAGCAGGGAAGAAAAUGACGGUACCUGACUAAGAAGCCCCGGCUAAUUACGUGCCAGCAGCCGCGGUAAUACGUAGGGGGCAAGCGUUAUCCGGAUUUACUGGGUGUAAAGGGAGCGUAGACGGCAAGGUAAGUCUGAUGUGAAAGCUAUGGGCUCAACCCAUAAACUGCAUUGGAAACUAUCUGGCUAGAGUGUCGGAGAGGUAAGUGGAAUUCCUAGUGUAGCGGUGAAAUGCGUAGAUAUUAGGAGGAACACCAGUGGCGAAGGCGGCUUACUGGACUGUAACUGACGUUGAGGCUCGAAAGCGUGGGGAGCAAACAGGAUUAGAUACCCUGGUA
This 434-nucleotide ribosomal RNA is filed under the name uncultured Lachnospiraceae bacterium. RNAcentral describes it as "bacterial SSU rRNA". It matches the Rfam family "Bacterial small subunit ribosomal RNA", at positions 341 to 792 of the family's 1533-position model. Lineage: Bacteria; Bacillati; Bacillota; Clostridia; Lachnospirales; Lachnospiraceae. The record is from RNAcentral.